CUUGAGUGAUCCUCCCGCCUUGGCCUCCCAAAGUGCUAGGAUUACAGGUGUGAGCCACCGUGCCCAGCCUCCAUUCAGUGUUGAGCUUCAAAGUAGGCAGUUUUCCUUAACCCCCUUGGGGUUCAGGUGGAGCAUUUUAUUUCAAGUUCACUGUUACACUGAGAGGUGGUUCUUUGGGAUUCCAGCUUUAUGGGCUAAGGUCUCCCAUAUUUGAUUUCUUAUCAUGAGCAGGCCCUGGACAUUCUUAUUUAUCCCCCUUGGACUUGAAAGUGGAAACUCAUUGUCCCUUUCCUUGGGCAAAAGCUGGCUUCAGAGCUUCCCUGACUUCCCUGGGCUUCUUCCUUCACUAGGAUUUUUUAAUUUUACACAGCUUUCCUGGUUGUUUUCAGCAGCUGAGUACUUAGUCUUUCAUGCUACCAGAAAUGGACAGGUGUCUAAUUUACUUUAUUAUGAUACUCUUCACAGCAUUGUUGCUGAGCAACUCAACAUUGUUGCUGAAAAUCCAUACCCGAGUGUCCUGGUUCUGUUGGGGUGUAUGCGUGGGGGUGUUCUGGCAGCCCCUCACCUUCCUCACAGUGUUGUGACUUCCUUUUUGGGAAUAAAGAUAUAAAUUGUGUUUACAUAAUCUAACCUAGCCUGUAGAUGGGUUGUAGGUUUUGCCUUUAGAAAGUAGUUUUGAAUCUCAAAUUUGUGGGGAUUUUCUUCCAUAUACGUAUAGAUACUAGCUGAACGCUUAAGUCACUCUUCGGUGAUGUUAGUAUUUAUAUAUCGUUGUAUUGACAGGGAUGUGAGGUGUUCCUUUGAGAAGGGGGCUGAUAAGCCUCUGCUUCACUUUUUCCUGAGAGCUGCUGCUUUCUGCAGGACAAGUGCUGCCUGGCAUCACCGGGUGCCACCGCCCGUCCACAACACACCUUGACUGUGCUGACAUGAGGCAGGAGCCACGCUGCUUCGUCUGCUGUUGCAGCAACCUCGUGAGAGAGACCCCACAAUUCCCAUUUUAAUCAUGAGGAAAUGGAGGCUAAAGAAGCUGCCACAUGGGGCUGUGAGGAGCCAUACACGGUGCUGGCCAUGGGACACAGCAGCUCCUGCAAAGAAAGAGCCGAGACUAGUGCAUGAGACAGACACGACAGCCCUGCAGGAGAUGGGCAAGGAAGAGCAGGCCCCAGAGAGCAUGGGGCCACUGCCGGGGAUGACCUGGGGACUCCUGCAGAAGGAACCAGUGCUUCCAGGUGUGUGAGGAUGGGUCACCAGUGGUGGAGGAGGUGCAGGAUGGGGGCGUGCUGCCGGGUGUGAGGUCAGUGUGCCUGACGAGGGACCCUGGGGGGCGUCUGAGGGGGACAGGAACCCACUCAGACCCUAGGCAGCCGGAGCUGCUCACUGAGGCGUGCAGCCCAGGGCUGUGUUCCUGAUUCAGCAGGUCUAGGGUGGGGCCUGAAAUGCUUAUUUCAGACAAGUUCCUGGGCCCUGGAGGAACUGCCUGCGGGGGAAGGGUGGCCACGAGCACUCUCCUCACACUGCUUGAGGCAGCAUCCCAGGCACAGUCCAAAUCAUGUGCUGCCCCUUCUUUAGCUGAGGCAGGUGGAUACUUCUGAAAAUAACUUCACAGGAAAUUAGGGAUGUCAUUGGAUUUAAAGACCUAAAAAGUGGUGCCAUUCACCCAAAGCUCAAGUGUCCUCACUGGUGUCCAGGUUUGCUCCACAAACACCUGAGCCCUUGUCAUGCACCGUCUGCUCCAUGGGGCACUGGAGGGGCGACAGGCGGCAAGGCCCUGAGGCCCAGCCUUCGGUUCAGUACAGUGGCCGAUAGCUGUUGAGGCUCACAUUGGAAACCCAGGUCCUCGGUCACACGGCCACAUUUCAAUGUGAAGUGCCCACGUGUGUCUGGUGGCUCCUGCACGGGACAGUGCAGAGGAUGUUCCCUCCCCACAGAGUGUUCUGCUGGGCAGCACCGGUCUCAUGGGAACGGUGGACGCUGAAGCUUUACCAGACUUGAGCUGUCAGCUCUGAAGACGCAGGGCAAGGCCCAGUACGAGCUGUAUGGAGGCUGGUCGGCAGGUGGCGAGUUGUCUCCUGAUGGGUCACGGUUGGUUACAGGUGGAACUCCUCAUUCUACUCUUUCCCCCUCACUACUGCACUUGUCUAAAAAAGCUGUAACAAGAGAACCUCUGGCGUCAUCCAGCUGGGCCCUAUGGACACAGGAAUGGGCAGCCUGGAGGAGCGGGGGAGGCGGGGUGGCUUUACUCUGGAGCCUCAGUUCUUUUCCUUCCACUCCAACUCCCCGGCUCUCUCAGACCCCUCUUCUUCAGUGCUCACGUGCGACUCACUGCAAAAGAAGGGGCCCCAUCUAGACUGCGUUCUGCGGACUGCUGUGCAGGAAGAUGUCAGCAGGGGCUCCCCGCCCACCGCGCCCCAGGAGAGACUGGCUAGCCCUGCAGUAAGAGGCCCUCACAGCCUGGUCUAACUAGGGCUUCCAGACUCACGGGACCAUGCAGUACACACUAAUGGUAUCUUUUGGGGGCUCACGUUGAGGAAUGCAGAACUAGAACACCCCUCCUGUAUAGCUGUUUCUAGUCUUGCAUUAAGUCAUUGGAAAGCCCUUUGUCAGAAUGUGUUGCCCGCUCUAGAUGCCAGCCCCUUGCCCAGCCCCUCCUUGGAAGGCUGUGCCGGGCCUGGCAGCCUCGUCCCCACAUCCCGCAUCGGCCUGCAUCUCUGCACACACACAGCAGACAAGGCAGGGGAGCAAUGUGUUCUUUUAUUGAUGCAAGUAUGUCCAGUCACACCAAAGCUGACGUCCUGCGUUAUGGUACAGCUUUAUAACCGGAGUUCAUCUCAGAAUACCAAAACAUCAAAGUUAGGGCAUGUAUCAAAUUGGGAAAAUAAAGUAGCAGACGUAGACACUGUUUCAAGUAGGUACUAGAACUUAUCACCUGUGAAGUGCACAUGGAUGUGAAGACCCUUUAACACAUGUACAGAAAACGCUCUAACACUGUAUUCCAAAUAUAUAUUCUCAAGUGUUAAGCCUUUAUCUCAAAGGCAAACAAAGCAAUAUGUACUAUCCAUAUACAAUCUGUACUAGGUAGGAUGUGGGAAAGUGCAAACACACUGUGACAAUACAGUGUAACUAUUCUUGCUCUGCCCAAGGCCACCUCCUCCCCAGGGCAGCCUGCGCAUCUCCAGCCUCUCCCAGAAGCUUUGGGAAGUGGGACCUGGCAUGUGGAGAGGGACAAGGGUGAGGCGUUCCCACAGGGAGACACACUGCCUCCGGCUUUCUGAGGGAGGGCCGUGCUGUCCCACGGUCAGUAAGGCCCAGGGCAAACGCCAGGAGGUCAGGCAUGGAAAGGGGUGUGCUCCUCUAGGCUGGGCCUGCAGAAAUGCCUCCCAGUGUGGGGCAGUUCUAGCUGAUGGGGCUCCAGCAGUUCUGGCCUGGCGGACUCUGUGUCUCGGAUUCCAAUUUGGGGAGGGGGCAGUCGGCAGAACACCACCUCUCGAGCUGUGUCACUCCCUCUGUACGUGGGCUUCAAGAACAGCUCUACAUGUCACUGUCCCGGAGCCUGCUUUGCAUUCUCUUCAUCAAAGCUCAUUGUCUUUCAAAUCUGUGACUCCACAACUCCCUCCCUCCCUUACAUUUUAGAUUUCUUCAUUUCUAAAUGUAAUUGAAGAAUGACCUGCCAGACACUUUCUCACAGAAAAUAUACUGCCAGGUGCCCUUGCCUCUCCCUGACCCCACAAAUCCCUGACAAAGGAAAAUGAAAAUGUAAACUUUGGAAAGCCCACACUCAAAGGGCUUCCAGAAGUGUGCAGAUGAGACCUCCGGGCCACCGGGCCCCGGCAGGAGCCUCCAGGCCCGGGCUCGGGAGGGCCGGCGCCUUGCGGAGCAGGAAGACAGCCCCAGUACCCUCUAAGGCACUAACCCCGACGUCAGAGACACUGGCUGGAGAGGCGUCCGAGCAGGCAGGGCUCACGUUGGUUUUGGUUGGGUUUUUAAAAAUUUUUUUUUGUAAGAUGUUAAUAAUCAAAAGUAGAAAAUAAAAAUCUACAUUUCAUCAGAAUAAGACGCUAUCAUGGAUGCCAUCUCCCAUGAUACUCUUUGCCCCACCCUCCCCGAAGCAGGGCCCUGCCCUGUUCUUUAAAAUAAACAAAAAAACUUUGUAAGUGCCAAAGGUUGAUGCAUGAAAUAAUUACCAUUUUUUUCUCAUAAAAGUUAUGUACAAAACGGACCCCAACCAGUGAGGCCACCUCAGCUCAGCCUGUAUCGAUCAAGGUUUACACCCGGUGCAUACGUGUGCUCCAUCCGCUCUGCAGCCGGCCGGCGCCUCAGGCUCUGUUAAGGAGGGUGGUCCUAGUGGACAGGACAGGCAGCGCUCAGGCCCCAAGCAGGCAGGGGCAGGGCCUGGACCCAAAGCGCCCGGGGCCAGCAGCCCUGCACGAGGCCACCGAGGUGCCCCAGGCCCACCCGCAGUUCUCCCCCUUCCCUGCAGACUUGGGUGUUCUGGAGCUUUCCUACCUGAGUGUCUUCCAGCUGUCCUUUUCCAUGUGGUUCUCGGGACCUUCACUUUCAAAGGAGGCGAUGAAGAGAGCUGAGAGACAGGAAAGGCCCUCAGAACGCGUGUCCCCAUAUGGCAUCUGUGAACACCCAGUUUUCCCUUCCAGGGCAGCAGCUGCGCCCAGGAUAAGGGGACAGCCAGACCUGGCUGGGCUGUACACAGGUCUCUAUUGCAUGGGGCUCCCAGGCUGCCUGUCAGGGACCCUGGGACAGCUCCUCGCCCUGCAGCACCUGCCUGACCCUUUCUGGCCCUUCUGAGUGGCCUUGGAGCCUGAUCCUCUGUCCCUCUGUUCCCUGCCCACAACCCACCAUCACACACGCUUGCCCCAUGUGGCACGGAGUAGCCACCAGGGCAACCCCCAACAGGUGUGGGGCCUGGGCAGACGGGGGGGCACGUCCAGGUGGGAGGGCCGUGCUACCACAGGAGUAGCCCUCACCCUCCUCGCUGUAGAUGGGCGCCGUGAGCAGGUAACUCUGGAUCUUCUUAUCCUUCUCGAAGGGACACUCUACCUGCGUCCACGUCAUGAACUCAUGGAUCUGUCUGGAGAUCUCCCAAAAUUUCUGAAGGGGAAAAGACCAACUGAUGUUCUUCUGUCGCCUUAACCUCCAAACCUGUGGUCAGUGCAGGGGACUGAAGAGGGCCCCAUGUGUGACCCCGGCCACACGCAGCCCAUCAGCACCAACCGGAGCACGUCAGAUCUCUCCAGGGCCUGUGUAGGCUCCACAGCUCCCACCCUCACCCGUGUGAAGUGGGCAUCUAACAGCUCUGGCCCACCACCUGCCCAGGCACCUCUGCCGCACCCUCCCGUCCUUGGCCAGGUGCCCUGAGCCCCACCAGGCAGGUUCUUGGCUUUCGUCUGGAAUUCUCUGCCUCUGCCUCCCCUCUGCCCAAGGUCCUCCUGACUCCUCCUCUGUCUCCCUGGUGAGGUCGGGCUGUGGCCACGGUCCUGAGUAAAUACGGUUCCCUGUGACUCCCAGCUCUGCAACCAGGUCAUCCACCCAGAAGGACAAGGGGCACCUCACACGUCACGGUCACACGGCAGCCCUGGCCCCCUCUGCCGCUUUCAGACCUGAAGGCCCUUCCGAACCUCAGGCCGGGCUCGGGAGACCACACGCCCUCCCCCAGGGCCACUGCCGGGCAGCCACUCCGCCCGCCCUGCGUGGUGCUGGGGCCCCGGAGGCUGGGCUCACCUUGAAGUUAAUGUGCCCGUUGGGCAGGUGGUUGGUGUGGAUUUUGUGCAGGAAGUAGAUGUCCUUAACGAAGAGGUUGAACACAGGGAUGACGAUCUUCUCUCGGCUGCUGUUGGCCAUCUGGGACCUCUGCGUGGCCCCCUGCAAGGCCGUGCGGUAGUUGCAGAAGUUGCUGGACGGGUCCAUGUGGUGCUGUGGGCACAGGGAGGCUCUGGUGAGUGUCCCAGGCCAGCGCCCCUCAGACCUGCUCAGGACGCUCCUCUGCAGGGCCGGAGCCUUCGUCCUGGGCAGCCCAGGGGUACGCGCAGGGGGGGGAAACGCCCAGAAGUACCUGGUUGAGCCCCACAGCCAGGGGUUUCCAGGUUUCAGUCCCAGUGUCUCUGGAAAGCUGGACAGAAGUGUCACAGCCCUGCCUGCUGCGCCCAGCCUCUCCCUCCUGCCUUCAACACUUUCCUUUGCUCCUCUUCAUGUAUCACCUCUGAGACCUGAGCAACCCCACGAGAUACAAGUGCUUUGCAAAAAAUGGAUUCCAGGAUCAAAUGCAUCCAGGUAAGGCUGCAGGGGAACUGGUCUGCCAGCCUCUGGGCCGCCCAGAGGCCCAGGACCAGGAGAAGGUGACCAAGGAAAAGGCCAGCCAGGCUCCGCUCACCCAUGCUGUCCACCUCAUGACUCGGGGCCCCACUUCUGUCAAACUCUUUAUUAACUGCUCUCCGGAACUUGCCUUAGGCGACGCUAGGUCCAGCAGAAGUAGCAAGAGCCUCGCCAAGGAGAGCCCGAGUACCCGCCACUGGAAGACGACAGUGCCAGGCCAGCAGGAGCCGCCGGCGCUGCGCGGGGAAGCCCCCGCCCCACCGUCAGCACCUUGCAGGCCAUGCAGGGCAAGGCUGCGGCAGGCGCUCGCCUACCUCCAAGAUGUCAAACUUGGCCGUCUUGACCUUGGACCAGGUUUUCUUCAGCCGCGCCACGGGACUGAGGUUCAUGCCAGCUACGAGGGACAGCAGGUGGGGUCAGGGCGGUGGAGGCAGGCUGAGGCCCCCCCACUGGGCACCCGGGCACUCACAGAUGAUGGCCAUCAUGGAGUUGAAAUUCCCGAUGUUGAAGCACUCCCGGGCCACGUCAAUGAAGAACUCCAACAUGCGGGUCCGGUGCUUCUUCUUCACCACCUGAAAGGCGCAGGGCGGCCUCAGCACGGCACCACCAGGGUGUGGCACCGACCCUGCUCCCCAACCCUUUCUCAGCCGCGAGGAGGGCUGUCUGCCCAGCAAGGCCCGACAGACGCAGGCGGCGCUGGGCACGGAGGAAGCACAGGACAGGGUGGCUGUCGUCGCUGCGAGAGGUGCCGCCAAGGCCCUAGCAAUGCAAGGAAGACUUCGGGCCUUUACUUUUAAAGUUCCCUCACCUAACUUCAGGUGAGGCGGGAGUCAGCACCUCACAGGCUGUGGAGACAGGGCACCCCGCCAUGUCUGCCGUGGGGCAUGCUUACCCGACACACCUCUGUGGCCACCAGCAUGCUCAGGCAGUUGAACCAGUUGUCAUAGGCCUCCAGGCUGUAGGUCUUGGUCAGGUCCCCUCGGCACUGUGGGGACACAGCUGGUCUCAGGGAACCUGGAGGACCCUGCUUAGACAACAGAGUCCCCAUGGCUAGCCUGGCCCCCCCAGGCCGCAGCUAGGCCUGCUUCGUGGCAGCCCAGACCAGUCCUUACUGCCCAGCGCAGGGCCAGGCUGGCCCUCCAGGCCAAGCCUGCAGCUCCCCUGUGCGUCAUCUGCACAGUCAUCCAAGACCUCCGAAGCAGGUACCCGUGGGGCCAGGGCCACAUCUGUCAGGUCGCAUGGCCAGUGCUCUGCAGGUGCUCGGGACGUGCUGGGUGAGGCCCACACCUGCCCUGCGUGGGCUGCAGGCACCAGGCCGGCCAGGCAUGUGGCACUGGCUGGGGACCCAGAGCAUGCCACAGGCCUCUGCCACUCACCCUGUGGUUGUCUAGGGAGUCCAUGUGGCUGAUGAUCUGCAUGAGGUCCUCGGGGUGGAUGCUGCUGACCCUGUCCUGGGGGUGAGGAGACAGCAGGGGGAGGGUCAGAGCUGCACAGGGUGUGUUAGGAGCAGGGGACCUGUUCAGGGCACAGGCUCUUGGCCUCCUCCCAUGCCAGUCCUCCAUCCUGGGGCCACCACAGUCCCCACUGCAGGACAGCACUGCCCCAGUCCUCCCUUUCACACAGGGCUGCCGUGCUCCCGUAGCCCCGAGUUCCAGACACAGGGGCACCUGCUGCUCAGACGGACGUGCCCAUCUGAGGCUGGGGAGCUGGCUCCCCCACCCAUGACCCAGUGUGACUAUGGGCCCUACAGCACUGUGACGAGAGACACCACGGUCUGGUGGCCCUGCACAGCAGCAAUGGAUGCCCCCCUUCCUGCAUGUGGCAGCACUGACCAGCUCGAUGUGAGUCAGCUGCUGGGCCAGCACGAGGGGGUCGCAGCACACGCCCAGAAUGUCCUUCUGGGCGGCCGGUGGCUUGGUCUUGAGGACAGACCCUUUGUCCACAGCUGGCGGCCGGAGUUUCUCUCGCAGCUCCUGGAACUGGCUCCGGGCGGCCAGAGACAGCAGCAGGCUCUGCGUCAUCUGGGCAAUGGCCUUCUUCACUGUGCCAUUCUCCUGUGGGCGUGAGGGGUGACGAGGGUACUAGUAUGGCCUGGCAGCAAGGCCACCACCACUCUGGGGAGACCACAUCACCUCCAGAGAUGUGCCUGACCAACAGGAGCCCACGCCCCCUAUCCAAACCUGCCAUGAGCCUUUGGGCCUUGACAGAGUACAGCACCGGCUCCUCGGAGGGCUCCUGGGGAGGCUGCUUCUCACUGCCUUCCCAUGGGAGGAGGGGCCCCAGAAUGGAGCAAGGCAUCGGGAAGAACUUCAUCCCUGGUCAAGAGCCUCCGUCCCUGAGCAGGAGCAGCCUGGGGUCCCUGUCCCCUCCUGAAGCUCUCCCUAGGCCUCCUAAGCCCUCUGGGUGGACAGGAGCUGCUGAAUACAUGGAAUUUUGGCCCAGGUUUCUCAGGUCCCCCGUCUAUACCCCAAAGGCCAAGGCUGAGCUGGGAGCCAGGAAAGGCAAACAGACUCUUACAAACUCUUGAUACACCCCCACUCCAGGGACAAGGGUGCCAAGGGCCAGCAGUGAUCUUAGCUGCCAUGCUUGCAGGGUUCUUGCAUGCAGUGUCAUGGGUGAGUCUGGCCAGUUAGUGACCCACUGAGCUGUCAUCUAGGGGUGAGGGAGGUUGAAUAAAGCCACCCGGCAACCUCCUUGGGGGAGUGACAGGGAAGGAGACCCCAUAUAGAGCUGUCCCUGAAGACGCCACCCUCCUGAGGGCAGACCUCCCACCCACUCAUAUACCCAGGGAGCCUGGCCAGGGCUGAACAAGCACUAACCUCAUCACACUGGGUGACACGGUGUGUGAUGGCCUUCAGUUCGGCCAUGGCCUUCUCGUCCUGGAAGUCAUAGGGGAAAGCCUCCGUCCACUCCUUCAGGAGCUGCACGAUCUUGGCUGAGAAGGACUUCAGCUUGGCCUGGGGCAGCGUGGGACACAGUGAGGCCCCAUGGGCCAGAGUGGGCAACAAGAUGGCAAGCGGUGCAAGCUGCCCCCACCCCGGGGCCUGUGCUGGGCACACCCCCCACCUGUGUACCACCUACAGUUUUGCCACGCCUGAGCCACCUAGACUCCUGUUUGUUUAGUUCCCCUUAAGUCGGCUUUCUUUCUCACUUAAGUAAACUCAUUCUCA
Molecule: long non-coding RNA, 9494 nt
Organism: Lemur catta (Ring-tailed lemur)
Lineage: Eukaryota; Metazoa; Chordata; Mammalia; Primates; Lemuridae
Exons: 3
Source: RefSeq, a predicted model, not a curated record